This 436-nucleotide ribosomal RNA is filed under the name Calastacus crosnieri. RNAcentral describes it as "partial 16S small subunit ribosomal RNA". It matches the Rfam family "Bacterial large subunit ribosomal RNA", at positions 1944 to 2588 of the family's 2925-position model. Lineage: Eukaryota; Metazoa; Arthropoda; Malacostraca; Decapoda; Axiidae. The record is from RNAcentral.
GACCGUGCGAAGGUAGCAUAAUCAUUAGUCUUUUAAUUAAAGGCUGGAAUGAAUGGUUUGACAAGAAAUUAACUGUCUUAUAAAUUAAAAUUGAAGUUGACUUUUAAGUGAAGAGGCUUAAAUUUUUCUUAAAGACGAUAAGACCCUAUAAAACUUUACAUUGACUUAAAUUGAUUUAAAAUUAGUUAUUUAACUUUAUUAUUUUAACAUGUGUUUCGUUGGGGUGACGAAAGUAUAAAUUUAACUGCUUUAUUUUUUAAACAAUUAUAUUUGAUAGGUAGUUGAUCCUUUAGUAGAGAUUAUAGAAAAGUUACUUUAGGGAUAACAGCGUUAUUUUUUUUGAGAGUCCUUAUCGACAAAAAAGUUUGCGACCUCGAUGUUGAAUUAAAAAUUUCUUUAUGGUGAAGCAGUCAUAUAAGAGGGUCUGUUCGACCUU